Molecule: ribosomal RNA, 279 nt
Filed under: uncultured bacterium
Lineage: Bacteria
Description: partial 16S ribosomal RNA
Rfam family: Bacterial small subunit ribosomal RNA
Source: RNAcentral
UGCCAGCAGCCGCGGUAAUACGGAGGGGGUUAGCGUUGUUCGGAAUUACUGGGCGUAAAGCGUAUGUAGGCGGAUCAAAAAGUUAGAUGUGAAAUCCCUGGGCUUAACCCAGGAACUGCAUUUAAAACUAGUGAUCUAGAAAUUGGUAGGGGUUAGUAGAAUUUCCAGUGUAGAGGUGAAAUUCGUAGAUAUUGGAAAGAAUACCAGUGGCGAAGGCGGCUGACUAGGCCAUUUUUGACGCUGAGAUACGAAAGCGUGGGUAGCAAACAGGAUUAGAUA